This is a non-coding RNA of Dipodomys ordii (Ord's kangaroo rat), 73 nucleotides long. Lineage: Eukaryota; Metazoa; Chordata; Mammalia; Rodentia; Heteromyidae. The record is from Rfam.
CGGAAUAUGACUUAGUGGUAGAGUGCUUGCCUAGCAUGCAUGAAGCCCUGGGUUCCAUUCCUCAGUACCACGU